Molecule: ribosomal RNA, 253 nt
Filed under: uncultured bacterium
Lineage: Bacteria
Description: partial 16S ribosomal RNA
Rfam family: Bacterial small subunit ribosomal RNA
Source: RNAcentral
UACGGGGGGUGCAAGCGUUGCUCGGAAUCACUGGGCGUAAAGCGUCCGCAGGUGGACGCGCAAGUCGGACGUGAAAUCCCGGGGCUCAACCCCGGAACUGCGUUCGAAACUGCGUGUCUCGAGUACGGGAGAGGGAAGUGGAAUUCCUGGUGUAGAAGUGAAAUUCGUAGAUAUCAGGAGGAACACCGGUGGCGAAAGCGGCUUCCUGGCCCGAUACUGACACUCAUGGACGAGAGCGUGGGGAGCAAACAGG